CCGGGGGGCUCCUGGGAGGCGGCGGCCAGCGGAGCCCAAAGCCCGGAGCUGUCCCUUUGGUGCUGGCGGGAAACUGAGGCAGGGGGAGUCUGGGCCUCAUGUUCUCCAAGCCCGGGGGCUUGCCUAGCUCUAGCUGCCCCUGCCCCGCUUAGGCAGGGCCGCGUGUGGCACCGUGCGAGCACGGGACUCGAAGACAACAAAAGAUGAUUUGAUGUUUGCAACUCCAAAUCCCAGAAGAGACAAUACCCUGUUGACAGAAAACUAUCGUAGGAUCCUGGAAAUGUUAUAGAAAUAAUACUAGAAGAGACUGCACAAAACACAGCACGUCAAAUCAACACCAGCUAACCGAUCACCUUUGCUCUGGGAGAAGCCAGUGCUUCUGGGAAGCCUGUUUAGCUCAAGAACAAAGAGGACUCCCAACUCAGUACCAGAAGGGACCUGACACAUGAUGUUUUUGAGAAGGCUCUUGUUAAAAUGUUGGCAGCACAUCACUGAUAGACUGGCAGCCAUGGGAGAUUUUGGGGAUAGAAAGGUACACGGUGUUCCCGGGAUUUUGUCUUUGUUGAGUAUCAAGGACUUACCUCCUUUUAGUUAUGCUGCAAGACAAAGAGGGCAAGAAUUUUAAACAAAGUAAAUGGACAACUGUGUAUGUUAAAUGCCUAUAUAACUGUGUACCUAAAUUGUAUGCACAACUAAUAUAAAUAUCCAAGGAAACUAGGUAACUCUGUUUACAAAAAAUUAAUUAUAAGGAUCUUUGUUCCCAGUUAACUGAUCUAUGCAGUAAUUUUGAGGGCAAAUUAGGCAUACUAAUCAUUAUUAUUACCAUUUAGAUCAGAGCCUAGGAAUUAAGAUUCCUGAGAUCUGUUUUUGGUUUUUCUGUUGCGUUUUUCUGUGACACUGUUGUAUGGAUGGGUGUCAGUUUUGAUCUCAAUCCUGAAACACCUGCUAAGCCAAUAAAACUGUCUGAUAAUGGGGGCACCGAGAAGGCAGCAGAUGUACAGGAUACCUUUUGAAGAGCUGAAACUUGGGGAGAGCCAGAGAAAGGAGCUGCUCAGACUUCAGUCUUGUUAGUGCAUGCCUGUGAAGUGGAGACCAAGUAUUAAUUGGGUGAAAGACAGAUCUGAGAAUGACGCUAAGAUCAAACUAGUAAUAUGCACAAAGGUAACUAGCAGAAAAGAGAUAAAAUACUGGGUCUCCCCUUAUGUUGUCAAAUUCCCCCACGUUUGAAGUGUGUAUUAAACUGACUUAGUCAAAUACUCUUUGGCUAUUUUUAAAUGCAUCUUGGAUUACUUGUAGCUACAGCAUGUUGGCUCUGACCAAGGGACUCCAGGCUAGAAUAAUGGAAUUUAGUGAAAGACAAAGAUGAGACUGAAAGGAAUUGAUCGGCCUGAGUGGCACUUGUAUAGGUGUUAAUAGGUUUCUUUCUGGAUUCUCCAUUUCUUUAGAUACAGACAACAUUUGCAGAAUCAGACAGCAACUAUUUGCAAACAAAGGUAGCUAGAAAGAGAAUAGCAAGUACACAUUUGGGCAUGUAGGAAAGGUGAUCGGCUGGCUAGAAUAUUGACUGGCUUCAGGAAAUCAGGGCUCGGUUCCUGGCUCUGCCAUUCAUUCCUUGUGCUACCCUGGUUUGCUCUUCACCAUCAGUUCCCCACCUGGAAAAAGAAGAGCCUUUUCCCCUAUAUUACAAGAGCAUUGUGAGUAAAACCCCCUAAGUGAUUUUGAGAUGCUCUGAUACUAUUACUAAGAAGGUCAUGUAAGGCUUGUAUAAAAACAAAGUAUUGAAUGGCCACAGCUCAGGUCACUGAGAUGCUCUGAAUAAAGGCAGGGAAUGCUCUGAAUGGCCAGAGUUGCCUGUUGAGAGGUAUACAGAUUCUUGCUACUCACAGAGGGAUGGCAAGCUGGCUGUUAACAAGUCCCAGAGAUUCAUACAGGACUUGCUACCAGCUGACAGUUGAGAAAAUAAUGAAUAUUGAUUAGGGGCAGGAUGCCCUCUGUCAAACAUGGGGAGCUCCCCAAUGGCAGAAGACAAUUCAGGAAAAAGAUGACAGAAGCAGAGCUCUAAUUGGUGUGACAGGGAGUUAAUUCAGAUUUUAGCUCUAUGGUGAAACAGGUGUCUGAGAGACAAUUCAAGUGCAGGCAGACUCAUUAAAGGAAAACUCCAGUGUAAUAGACAAGAUAUCCUAAUUGCUACAUCUAAUUAGGAAGAAGAGUAAAUUGCUAUGAGCAAAACUGUGCAUCUGAUAGAAUAUAAACAGAUAAUUGACAAUCAAACAGAGAGCAGCCAUCCAUCUACAUGGACUAGCGAUGCCGUGUACAAAAAGAAAAAAAACAGAGAAGCUUUUAAAGUUGUAAAGAUCCCCUAAUUUGCUAAAUGUUAUCAUAAAGGGACAAUGUCAACUUAAAUUGGAUUCACACUAAAACAUAUGGUAAAAAAAUACAUUUUAUAAAUUUGAAGACCAAUAGGAAUAUUUUCUUAUUUCUUUAGAAAAUUCCAAUGAAAUCAUCUUUUUAAGAACAAAUAAGCUUGUGUCUUUAAAGCACUGUGACCUGACAAUAAAAAUGACUAUUAAAAAGUGAGUUGGGUGUUCAGCAACCUAACUUAGGUAGCUGAAAACAAAUGCAAGAAGUAUAUUCCUUACAAGUGACCUGGAUGUUUAAAAUUCUUGGGUGCUUAAAAAUAAAAAGUAUUAUGUGUCCUUUCACAGAGAAAUAUGGACAUUAACAAGCUAUGGGAUCUGACUGGAUAUAAAUUGGCAUAAUUCUAUGAAGUUAAUUGGAAGGGUGCUAAUUCACACCACCUCAGGAUCUGGCUAAGGGCUUUUAAACUGACAGUUUCCCUUUAACCAAGAAUGUACAUGGGCUUCUUGGUUUUUAAAAUAGACUUAGCCUCCCAAGAACUUGCAAUAUCCCUGGCCUUUCCCAGGCGUUCAAAUCAGAGCUGUUUUUGGAGUCCUGUUUUGCAUUAUCAAGCUGGACCUGUUUCUGAGGAGCAUCCAUAUAAGGGCAGCUUCUACUGAGACAGUGAGGGAUCGUUUUUAAUAUUAGAGAUACUGAAACAGGAGCAGAUACUUCUAAAAUAAUUUUAUAAAUAGAUAUUAGUAAAUAUUUGCCUGACUCGCAUGCUACAGCUGGCUGGCUGGCUUCUCUUUUGAUGCUUCACACCGAUGUCUGCCCUCAAAGUCCAUCUGCACAAAGAUCACUGAAGGGAGAAUAUUUCCAGUUGCCUUUCUUGCCCCAGUAGGACUGUUUCUGUCACUUUGUCAUGUUGAAUAGUACCAAACUUUGUAAAUGUUCCUCCUGAAAUAAGUGGGGGCUCUUGCGAAGUAUUGGAGUAGUGUAGUGUGCUGCCCAGCACAGGGAGGGAAGGGAUCAAAGCCUGACUUCAUGUUAUUUGUCAUGGGACAUGCCUGCAGAAUACGUUCCUCACAAUUGUGCAGUCAAAUCACUUGGAGUGUCGACGUUUGACCAGCUUCUGGGUAUAAGUAAAGCCAAGGAACGUGUCCACUAAACAAACCGAGAGUGAGGCGUUUGCAAUGAAGUGCAGUGCUCAUAAAUACAUGGGUGACAGCUACAGCCCUGGCUUUGUCAGUAAAGGCACAGGUGAAAGCUCCUGAGUCGGAAGCAUAUGCCAGGCUUUAAGCCCCGGUUCCUGUGCUUUACCUUCUACAUCCAUCUCUGAUCCUACAUGACAAUGACAAUGCUAAAGUGGCAAAAAAUAUUUUUUUCCUAAGCAUGCACAGCAGGGAUACUAUGGGCUAGAUUCUUUGCUGGUGCAUUUGGCAUAGCUCCCCUAAAGAUAUGCAGUUGUACUGACCUCUACUAGCUGAAAUCCUGGUCUCCCCUGUGAAGUGGUUGAGGUUUACUUGAUUAAUUCACUUUCACAGAUCAUUCCCCAUAGUGUUCCUUUAAACUCUGGCCAAAUGCAGACCAGGUACAAAUGAUGCAGCUGCUUUGCCUGAAGUAAAAUUGCAUCUCCAGAAACCAAUGACUUUGGCCAAUGAUACUUGAUGCUGUUAAAAGGUCCUAGAGAUCAAAGCCAGACAUCUGAAAAAACUGGCUUGACAGGCCUGGAGAUCGAAGGCCCCUAUUCAUUCCCACCACAGCAGCAGUACAAGUGUCCCUGCCUGUUCUCCAAAGGGAACUAUCCUGGGGAGAAAGCGAUCUCAGUCUUUCUGUUUAAAUGGCCACCUAUUGCCAUUUAUAAAGAUAUAUUUUGUGAUAUGUGUAUACAGAGCACCAACAGAGGAUGAUGUCUGAGCCAGACUGACUUGUACUGGUGGUCCAUAAGCCAUUAUCAAUUUCUUGGACCCAGCCAGUCUCUCCGAUGAAACAUUUUCUAAUGGGUAGAGUCAAGAUCUAGAUUUCUGGGGCUGACCCUUUCUUGCAAGCUUUAUUUCCUCAUAAAACAAUCAUGUUAGCAGCCUUGUGACAACAGGGUAUAGCGUGAAUUACAGCCCUAACUAGCUCUUCAUGAGUUUUGUCAUUCAGUGAGUGAAUUAACCAACCAUUUCAAUCCACCAGGGCUGCUUAAGUGACUGAAGCAAUGUUUCUGGCUUCUUUAUCUUGAACUGAGAGAUCUGUGAAUGCACCACACACAACCACAAGUCACUCCAGCUGUAUAAAAAUGCUGUUAGGUUCUGUGUGCUAUGACCCCUCUUUGAGAUGGCUAGUUCCAGCUCUAUUACAUACAUCUCUUGCCUCCCUCAGUUUAUUACUGGAUUUAGAAUUUUAUUUUAAGAAGGGAAAAGGUGAAGGAGUCCAGAAUUGCAUUAAGGGAUUUUAUAGUGUUAUAGCUAAAAGGUAAUUUGUGAAUUUAUUGGAUUUCAGUGGUUUAGUUGUACACAUGUUUUAUUUCUAAAUUAGAUGAGGUUAGCUAGUACUCCUCUGUGAGUACUUUAGUCAUUCUUAAAAGCAUUGAUUCACUUCAAGUCAGAAAAGGUUGUACAUUAUGGCUGAUCUGUUAGGCUGAGAUUAGAUUGAAAUCUAUAGAUCUCCUGUGUCUUGGCUUGUUAGUGAUUGGUAAUGGUAUUUGAUUAAUCACUACUGAUGUAUUUGGCCCCCUUCUUUGACUGUUGAGGGCUUGUUAGUAUGCUUGUUAGUGCUGUGAAUUUAAUUGGGCUUUAUCAGAAUAUCUCAAUUAGCCAAAGGUGUUAAUAUAGCCUACACACAGCCCAAAUUGCCAUUAUAUUUUCUAAACUACAUCUGUUUAUUUACUUGUGGCAAUGUGUUGCAGUGUGAACAUGAAGGGAAUAUCCUGGUUUACACAAUGUCUCAAGUUUUACUUACUUUAAAUUUUAAGUAAAAAUGUAAAAUUUUUAAAAAUGUUAUCCCAUAUGGUAAGCACUUUGUGUUAAAUUUAGGAAAAUAUAAUGUUGUAAAAGUGGCUGCUUGUAUUUUAUCCUGUAAAUAGUCCUGUACACUCACCUUUUUUAACGUAUUUUCUGAUACAAUAGCUAGGUAAAUGUGUACAGAAAAGAAACUUUUUUGCUUUACUGUUCUGCUGUUUGUGGCAUUCUUUCCCACGCCCUACCACAGUCCUAGAAGCAGUUUCCUUGGUCUAUAGCAAGAGGACAAUGCUAUGUAUAGGAGAGAUGAUUGAUUGAAGUUUGUAGAAAGCUACAUAGAUGUGAUAAGGAUGGUUGAGUUACAUGAAUGGCAAUAUCUAGCACCUACACAAACAACAAACUAAUCUUCACUGUCCUUCAAAUUUUGGUACUGGAGAAAGUCAGGAACAAAGGAUUAAUGAAGGGUAGGAAAACCCCCCCACAAAUUUUGAAUCCCUAUUUCCUGUCAUAAGAAUUA
Molecule: long non-coding RNA, 5802 nt
Organism: Alligator mississippiensis (American alligator)
Lineage: Eukaryota; Metazoa; Chordata; Crocodylia; Alligatoridae
Exons: 3
Source: RefSeq, a predicted model, not a curated record